GCUGGCGGCGUGCCUAAUACAUGCAAGUCGAGCGAACUGAUUAGAAGCUUGCUUCUAUGACGUUAGCGGCGGACGGGUGAGUAACACGUGGGCAACCUGCCUGUAAGACUGGGAUAACUUCGGGAAACCGAAGCUAAUACCGGAUAGGAUCUUCUCCUUCAUGGGAGAUGAUUGAAAGAUGGUUUCGGCUAUCACUUACAGAUGGGCCCGCGGUGCAUUAGCUAGUUGGUGAGGUAACGGCUCACCAAGGCAACGAUGCAUAGCCGACCUGAGAGGGUGAUCGGCCACACUGGGACUGAGACACGGCCCAGACUCCUACGGGAGGCAGCAGUAGGGAAUCUUCCGCAAUGGACGAAAGUCUGACGGAGCAACGCCGCGUGAGUGAUGAAGGCUUUCGGGUCGUAAAACUCUGUUGUUAGGGAAGAACAAGUACGAGAGUAACUGCUCGUACCUUGACGGUACCUAACCAGAAAGCCACGG
Molecule: ribosomal RNA, 480 nt
Filed under: bacterium Ellin5128
Lineage: Bacteria; Bacillati; Bacillota; Bacilli; Caryophanales; Bacillaceae
Description: bacterial SSU rRNA
Rfam family: Bacterial small subunit ribosomal RNA
Source: RNAcentral